This 468-nucleotide ribosomal RNA is filed under the name uncultured bacterium. RNAcentral describes it as "partial 16S ribosomal RNA". It matches the Rfam family "Bacterial small subunit ribosomal RNA", at positions 28 to 507 of the family's 1533-position model. The record is from RNAcentral.
GACGAACGCUGGCGGCGUGCUCAACACAUGCAAGUCGAACGGAAAGGCCCUGCUUUUGUGGGGUGCUCGAGUGGCGAACGGGUGAGUAACACGUGAGUAACCUGCCCUUGACUUUGGGAUAACUUCAGGAAACUGGGGCUAAUACCGGAUAGGAGCUCCUGCUGCAUGGUGGGGGUUGGAAAGUUUCGGCGGUUGGGGAUGGACUCGCGGCUUAUCAGCUUGUUGGUGGGGUAGUGGCUUGCCAAGGCUUUGACGGGUAGCCGGCCUGAGAGGGUGACCGGCCACAUUGGGACUGAGAUACGGCCCAGACUCCUACGGGAGGCAGCAGUGGGGAAUAUUGCACAAUGGGCGGAAGCCUGAUGCAGCAACGCCGCGUGCGGGAUGACGGCCUUCGGGUUGUAAACCGCUUUCGCCUGUGACGAAGCGUGAGUGACGGUAAUGGGUAAAGAAGCACCGGCUAACUACGUG